Chrysoperla carnea is the source of this 183-nucleotide long non-coding RNA. RefSeq lists it as uncharacterized. The transcript has 3 exons. Lineage: Eukaryota; Metazoa; Arthropoda; Insecta; Neuroptera; Chrysopidae. The record is from RefSeq and is a predicted model, not a curated record.
AUAUUUGACGACAACAAAAGAACACAUCGUUUACAAAUAUGUCAGUACUAAAGUUAAAAUCAUUAAAUGAAUUUAAAAAAAAAUAAGAAACUAAAAAACGAUCACAACUUCACAAAAUCACAAGGCGACAUAACCUUAUUAAAGUAAAUCUCCAAUUACUAUUAGAUACGGAUUAAAACAGAA